AGUGAACGCUGGCGGUAGGCCUAACACAUGCAAGUCGAACGGCAGCACAGAGGAGCUUGCUCCUUGGGUGGCGAGUGGCGGACGGGUGAGGAAUACAUCGGAAUCUACUCUGUCGUGGGGGAUAACGUAGGGAAACUUACGCUAAUACCGCAUACGACCUACGGGUGAAAGCAGGGGAUCUUCGGACCUUGCGCGAUUGAAUGAGCCGGUGUCGGAUUAGCUAGUUGGCGGGGUAAAGGCCCACCAAGGCGACAAUCCGUAACUGGUCUGAGAGGAUGAUCAGCCACACUGGAACUGAGACACGGUCCAGACUCCUACGGGAGGCAGCAGUGGGGAAUAUUGGACAAUGGGCGCAAGCCUGAUCCAGCCAUACCGCGUGGGUGAAGAAGGCCUUCGGGUUGUAAAGCCCUUUUGUUGGGAAAGAAAUCCAUCUGGUUAAUACCCGGGUGGGAUGACGGUACCCAAAGAAUAAGCACCGGCUAACUUCGUGCCAGCAGCCGCCGUAA
Molecule: ribosomal RNA, 506 nt
Filed under: uncultured bacterium
Lineage: Bacteria
Description: partial 16S ribosomal RNA
Rfam family: Bacterial small subunit ribosomal RNA
Source: RNAcentral